RNAcentral lists this long non-coding RNA (375 nucleotides) under Lathyrus oleraceus (garden pea). RNAcentral's name for it is "Pisum sativum (pea) long non-coding RNA (PSAT_LNC030542)". The record is from RNAcentral. Lineage: Eukaryota; Viridiplantae; Streptophyta; Magnoliopsida; Fabales; Fabaceae.
AGACAUUGAACCCGUAAGUGCAUGGAUUUUACCAGCAAUAGAGUAAGGGAUCGGUACCUGGGACUUGAAGGUACGAAGCUUCUCUUCUUGAUUUGGUGGUUCUGGAACGUACUCUUGAUUCCCAUCAAGGAUAACAUAUUGUAAUAUGGUAGCUAGAGGUAGAGAAGCCUUGGAUUCUUUGGAGGUUUUUGCUUUGGACGCCAUUGUUGAAAGCAAUGAAUUUGAUGCUUGGAGAAGAGAAAUUUUUAAAAGAUAUUUAAGGGUAACAAUGAGUAAAAAAUAAGAAGAAAUGAAGAAGAAAUAUUUAUAGUGGGGGAAAAAGAGUCUUUAAUUUUGCUGCUAACAAAUGACGCCAAAUUUUGUGACACAUGCCAU